UUCCGGUUGAUCCCGCCGGAGGCCACUGCUAUGGGGGUCCGACUAAGCCAUGCGAGUCAUGGGGCGCCUUGUGCGCACCGGCGGACGGCUCAGUAACACGUCGGUAACCUACCUUCGGGAGGGGGAUAACCCCGGGAAACUGGGGCUAAUCCCCCAUAGGCCUGAGGUACUGGAAGGUCCUCAGGCCGAAAGGGGCUCUGCCCGCCCGAGGAUGGGCCGGCGGCCGAUUAGGUAGUUGGUGGGGUAACGGCCCACCAAGCCGAAGAUCGGUACGGGCCAUGAGAGUGGGAGCCCGGAGAUGGACACUGAGACACGGGUCCAGGCCCUACGGGGCGCAGCAGGCGCGAAACCUCCGCAAUGCGGGCAACCGCGACGGGGGGACCCCCAGUGCCGUGGCAUCGCCACGGCUUUUCCGGAGUGUAAAGAGCUCCGGGAAUAAGGGCUGGGCAAGGCCGGUGGCAGCCGCCGCGGUAAUACCGGCGGCCCGAGUGGUGGCCGCUAUUAUUGGGCCUAAAGCGUCCGUAGCCGGGCCCGUAAGUCCCUGGCGAAAUCCCACGGCUCAACCGUGGGGCUUGCUGGGGAUACUGCGGGCCUUGGGACCGGGAGAGGCGGAGGGUACUCCUGGGGUAGGGGUGAAAUCCUAUAAUCCCAGGAGGACCGCCAGUGGCGAAGGCGCUCCGCUGGAACGGGUCCGACGGUGAGGGACGAAGGCCAGGGGAGCGAACCGGAUUAGAUACCCGGGUAGUCCUGGCUGUAAAGGAUGCGGGCUAGGUGUCGGGCGAGCUUCGUGCUCGCCCGGUGCCGAAGGGAAGCCGUUAAGCCCGCCGCCUGGGGAGUACGGCCGCAAGGCUGAAACUUAAAGGAAUUGGCGGGGGAGCACUACAAGGGGUGGAGCGUGCGGUUUAAUUGGAAUCAACGCCGGA
RNAcentral lists this ribosomal RNA (923 nucleotides) under uncultured archaeon. RNAcentral's name for it is "bacterial SSU rRNA". It matches the Rfam family "Archaeal small subunit ribosomal RNA", at positions 1 to 922 of the family's 1478-position model. The record is from RNAcentral.